This 1718-nucleotide unclassified non-coding RNA is filed under the name Hevea brasiliensis (rubber tree). Lineage: Eukaryota; Viridiplantae; Streptophyta; Magnoliopsida; Malpighiales; Euphorbiaceae. The record is from RNAcentral.
CAAGAGCAGUUCAGAUCACCUGGGGCACAUGCAUUAUGGCAGUUGCAUCCACAAGAAGGCUCUGUUAACUUAAAUGAUUUAACAUACUUGACACUAGCAAAGUAUGUGAAGUAUGCAGGUCCCUUCUCUUCAUCAACAUCAUUUACAAGUGACACAGGGAUACCUUCAGUCCCCGAAGUGAGGUCUGGCAGAAUUAAACCAAUCCUUGAAGAAAACCCUUCCCGCCACUGCUGUAUUGAUUUCCAAACAUCAAAAGCACCUGGCUGCCCAGGCAACCUAACCAACUUGUACUUAAAUAUAUUGCAACCAGAUUUCCCCUUUUCCACCCAUGACUCCUGGAUCCUAUAAAGCCCAUCAUACACAUAGACCUUUGCUGUUGGACUAAUGGCAUCCUUCAUACCCCGAAUGACUCUCACCUCAUUGUUACGAUGCAAGCUCCUCUCCAAUGCAAGGUUACCCCUCUCAAGUUUCUGAUCAGCUGCUUCCUUCUUGUUGCUGUUGACAUUACCACCCUGCCCACUAUAAAUUAAAACAUCCCUAUCCUCUGCCUCAUCCUCAUACCCACCAGAAGAAACAAUGCUUACAGCCAGUGGAUCUUCUUCUAUAUCAGCUCUCACAAUCAUGUAAUCAAUCCCAGCCAUGGUCUGGGAAUGCAACCCAACUAAACACAUCUCCAUUCGGAAAAAGAAAAUAUCCCCAACCUCAACUCCAGGAACCACUCCAACUCUCUUCCUCAGAUUCGUCCUCAACCCUUUGCUCAUCAUAAUAUUGGCUGCUUUCAAAUCUGCACGCCUAAUCCACCCAUUGGGCGAUUCCUUAGCAUCCUCUAAUUGGCUAAGCCUUCUCCUAAGGGCAUCAAACCUCAUUCGCACGUUAUUCACCACUUCCGUGUCACCAUCCUCCCUCUGAGCGGGAGUAAUCCCCAAAACGAAGUUAUUAUCAACAACAGCCAAGGUAAAAACCAGGUCUUUCUUGGCCUUCUUUUGGGAUGCGGAGGAGGAUCUUGGCCGCCCCACAGGACGCUUUGUUGGGGCACCUGUGGAACCAUCUGCGUUCCCAUCUGUAGCCAUCUUCCCAUUUGACUGUGGCGCCCGGAAAGAUCGAAGAGGCGCUGGAGUGUGGGUAUGCUGGUUGAGGUCAGGAGGAGUGGGUUGCGGUCCAUUAAAAGGGUAAAACGGGGAAAAACCAGACGGGAAAGGACCAGAAGGAGGCGCACAAACAAAAGGAGGAGCCUGAGGACUAGAUGGAAACACAGGAACCAAACUACGCAGCGGUUUGACAUCCAACACUCUUGAUUUGUCAAACGUAGCCGAAGGAGGUACAGAAUUGCUACCAGACCCUCCUUCCAUUUCCAAUUACUCGACCCCAAACAAAAAGGGGGAAAAGAAACAAUAAACAAACCAACCAACCCUCCAAUACCCAAAUGAAACCCGCCUUAUACUUUCUCCCUAAUCACUAUUUCAAUUCAAAUUCCAACAUCUAGAAAGCAAAAAAACCAUUUCUUUUUCCCUGAUUGGUUGACCGUUAGGGCUUUGCAAGAAGAAAGACAGAGCGAAGGAAGGUGAGAAAAGGGUUUACUUUUUGUUAGAAGAGAGAAUGAGAGCUUGGCGGUGGCUUCGGGGUCCGAAGACGAAGCACUGGUUUGGAACUCUGUGGGAGCCCUCUGCCUGAUGCGUCAUUACUCUAUGGCUCUGGCUUCGCUCCUUUAAGUAAAUUUU